Molecule: long non-coding RNA, 865 nt
Filed under: Rattus norvegicus (Norway rat)
Lineage: Eukaryota; Metazoa; Chordata; Mammalia; Rodentia; Muridae
Description: long non-coding RNA NONRATT016833
Source: RNAcentral
AGUGGUCUUGUAACAGGGAGGUGGGAGGGCUGGGAGGGCGAUUUGUACCACUGAAGCUCUAAUAAUUUGGUUCUUUACUGUUUUGGGGGGAGAAGAACAAUGUGAAGUGUUCUGUGUAUUAUCGGAUUUCAAGCAAUAUUUUAGAAACCGUGUGACUGCUUUAAUAAUUUUUUCCAAUGCUAUUUGAAUCAUGCUAUCAGUUAUACUAAAGCUGAAUGACAAUUGUGUGAACAUUAAUGCCUUCAUAAGAUCAAGUACACCACUGUACGCAGCUGACAUAUAGUAUAUUACCUUCGAGGCUAGUAAACUAUACAGUUUUAGAUAUUAAAUCUCGUUACAGGGUUAUUUAUAUAAUGUGACAUUAUUCUAUACUGACAGACUACAUGGAGUAGUUUUAAAAAGUAGUGCUAUUUUUAUUUCAGAAGUUAGCAAUGAGAAGGAAAUGUGACCUGCCUGUGUUUGUCUUCUGUACAAAGACUGAAGUGCUUAUGUUUUUCUGACUAACAAUGGCAGAGGGCAGAGUUCAAAGCUUCCUUGUAAAGACUGUUCUUUUCGGGCUACUGUGUGUUUUCUAAUGCUGACGUGUGCUUCCAUAGCGGGCAAGUUCCUUCAUGUGGAGUAGUGCGACCUGUUUAUGGGUUGUAACAUUUGAAAAAAGACACCUGUGCUUGCACAGUUUUUAGUCAUUCUUAAAUCAUUCUUAAACUCUGAACAUGUGAGCUGUCUAAAAGAAUCUCUUAAUUUCACAGUAAUUUCCACUUUGUGCACAUAUUGAUUUCUUAAUGGUAAAAAGCCUUGUUUAUGAUAGUGUUCUCUGUUGAGGAUAUUUUCAUGGAAUAAAGCAAUCUUUUCAUGGUCAGUUAAG